RNAcentral lists this ribosomal RNA (480 nucleotides) under uncultured bacterium. RNAcentral's name for it is "partial 16S ribosomal RNA". It matches the Rfam family "Bacterial small subunit ribosomal RNA", at positions 28 to 507 of the family's 1533-position model. The record is from RNAcentral.
GAUGAACGCUCGCGGCAGGCCUAACACAUGCAAGUCGAGGGGGAGGUUACUUUCGGGUAACUGAGACCGGCGUACGGGUGCGUAACGCGUAUACAAUCUGCCUUUCACUGGGGGAUAGCCCGAAGAAAUUUGGAUUAAUACCCCAUAGUAUAGUAAUACGGCAUCAUGAUGCUAUUAAAGCUUAGGUGGUGAAAGAUGAGUAUGCGUUCUAUUAGCUAGUUGGAGAGGUAACGGCUCCCCAAGGCGAUGAUAGAUAGGGGUUCUGAGAGGGAUGUCCCCCACACUGGUACUGAGAUACGGACCAGACUCCUACGGGAGGCAGCAGUGAGGAAUAUUGGACAAUGGUCGGAAGACUGAUCCAGCCAUGCCGCGUGCAGGAUGAAGGUCUUAUGGAUUGUAAACUGCUUUUGUAAGGGAAGAAUAAGGGCUACGCGUAGUUUGAUGACGGUACCUUACGAAUAAGCAUCGGCUAACUCCGUG